RNAcentral lists this long non-coding RNA (210 nucleotides) under Drosophila guanche. Lineage: Eukaryota; Metazoa; Arthropoda; Insecta; Diptera; Drosophilidae. The record is from RNAcentral.
AAAGAGUUGAGCUCCGCCGCACUGCGCAACCCGAUCAACAGGCAGGCAGGCUGGCAGGCUGGCAUAAAUCAAUCACUUCCUGCAGUUUGAGCAAUUGGCCAGCGAAACUGUGGAUUGUGGCACCGUUCCUCCGCCCUGCGGGCCCUUCAAUUUGGUUUUGCAUGGACGAUUGUCUGGCGAAAUGUUAUUUAUGGGGCCACAUCAGAAAAC